Molecule: ribosomal RNA, 253 nt
Filed under: uncultured bacterium
Lineage: Bacteria
Description: partial 16S ribosomal RNA
Rfam family: Bacterial small subunit ribosomal RNA
Source: RNAcentral
UACGUAGGGGGCUAGCGUUGUCCGGAAUUAUUGGGCGUAAAGAGCUUGUAGGCGGUUUGUCGCGUCUGCUGUGAAAUUUCGGGGCUCAACCCCGAACUUGCAGUGGGUACGGGCAGACUAGAGUGUGGUAGGGGAGACUGGAAUUCCUGGUGUAGCGGUGAAAUGCGCAGAUAUCAGGAGGAACACCGGUGGCGAAGGCGGUUCUCUGGGCCUUACCUGACACUGAGGAGCGAAAGCGUGGGGAGCGAACAGG